CCCUUAGAUGUCCGGGGCCGCACGCGCGCUACACUGAAGGAAUCAGCGUGGCUUUCUCCCUGACCCGAAAGGGUUGGGAAACCCGUUGAACCCCAUUCGUGAUGGGGAUCGGGGAUUGCAAUUAUUCCCCAUGAACGAGGAAUUCCCAGUAAGUGCGGGUCAUAAGCUUGCGUUGAUUAAGUCCCUGCCCUUUGUACACACCGCCCGUCGCUACUACCGAUUGGAUGGUUUAGUGAGGCCCUCGGAUCGGCCCCGCCGGGGUCGGCCCACGGCCCUGGCGGAGCGCUGAGAAGACGGUCGAACUUGACUAUCUAGAGGAAGUAAAAGUCGUAACA
This 335-nucleotide ribosomal RNA is filed under the name uncultured eukaryote. RNAcentral's name for it is "partial 18S ribosomal RNA". It matches the Rfam family "Eukaryotic small subunit ribosomal RNA", at positions 1470 to 1796 of the family's 1831-position model. The record is from RNAcentral.